GAAGUUUAARGGGGGUUYCUUCAGGMCCWSUUYUKCCUGMGGGCCCCGSCYGMCAGKGUGAUGRAUAUUUUUYYSWWWSACCCUUAGAGUUUGAUCCUGGCUCAGAACGAACGCUGGCGGCGUGCCUAACACAUGCAAGUCGAACGGGAUGAGGGGCUUGCUCCUCAUUUAGUGGCGCACGGGUGAGUAACGCGUAGAUAAUCUGCCUGAUGAUCCGGGAUAACACUUCGAAAGGGGUGCUAAUACCGGAUAAGCCCACGGGUUCUUUGGAAUCUGCGGGAAAAGGGGGGGACCUUCGGGCCUUCUGUCAUCAGAUGAGUCUGCGUACCAUUAGCUAGUUGGUGGGGUAAUGGCCUACCAAGGCUACGAUGGUUAGCUGGUCUGAGAGGAUGAUCAGCCACACUGGAACUGAGACACGGUCCAGACUCCUACGGGAGGCAGCAGUGGGGAAUUUUGCGCAAUGGGGGAAACCCUGACUCAGCAACGCCGCGUGAGUGAUGAAGGCUUUCGGGUCGUAAAGCUCUGUCAGAGGGGAAGAAAUGAAACGUGCUAAUAUCACGUUUUCUUGACGGUACCCUCAAAGGAAGCACCGGCUAACUCCGUGCCAGCAGCCGCGGUAAUAC
Molecule: ribosomal RNA, 623 nt
Filed under: uncultured Geobacteraceae bacterium
Lineage: Bacteria; Pseudomonadati; Thermodesulfobacteriota; Desulfuromonadia; Geobacterales; Geobacteraceae
Description: bacterial SSU rRNA
Rfam family: Bacterial small subunit ribosomal RNA (bases 79-623)
Source: RNAcentral